This 239-nucleotide ribosomal RNA is filed under the name uncultured Lactobacillus sp. RNAcentral describes it as "partial 16S ribosomal RNA". It matches the Rfam family "Bacterial small subunit ribosomal RNA", at positions 125 to 355 of the family's 1533-position model. Lineage: Bacteria; Bacillati; Bacillota; Bacilli; Lactobacillales; Lactobacillaceae. The record is from RNAcentral.
CCGUAGCCCAAGAGAUCGGGAUAACACCUGGAAACAGAUGCUAAUACCGGAUAACAACAGAUGAUGCCUAUCAACUGUUUAAAAGAUGGUUCUGCUAUCACUCUUGGAUGGACCUGCGGUGCAUUAGCUAGUUGGUAGGGUAACGGCCUACCAAGGCGAUGAUGCAUAGCCGAGUUGAGAGACUGAUUGGCCACAUUGGGACUGAGACACGGCCCAAACUCCUACGGGAGGCAGCAGCA